AUUGAACGCUGGCGGAAUGCUUUACACAUGCAAGUCGAACGGCAGCACGGGGGCAACCCUGGUGGCGAGUGGCGAACGGGUGGGUAAUACAUCGGAACGUGCCCAGUCGUGGGGGAUAACGUAGCGAAAGUUACGCUAAUACCGCAUACGAUCUACGGAUGAAAGCGGGGGACCGUAAGGCCUCGCGCGAUUGGAGCGGCCGAUGUCAGAUUAGGUAGUUGGUGAGGUAAAGGCUCACCAAGCCGACGAUCUGUAGCUGGUCUGAGAGGACGACCAGCCACACUGGGGCUGAGACACGGCCCAGACUCCUACGGGAGGCAGCAGUGGGGAAUUUUGGACAAUGGGCGCAAGCCUGAUCCAGCCAUUCCGCGUGCAGGACGAAGGCCUUCGGGUUGUAAACUGCUUUCGUACGGAACGAAAAGGCUCUGGUUAAUACCUGGGGCUCAUGACGGUACCGUAAGAAUAAGCACCGGCUAACUACGUGCCAGCCGCCGCGGUAA
This 500-nucleotide ribosomal RNA is filed under the name uncultured bacterium. RNAcentral's name for it is "partial 16S ribosomal RNA". It matches the Rfam family "Bacterial small subunit ribosomal RNA", at positions 29 to 523 of the family's 1533-position model. The record is from RNAcentral.